AGCCCAGAGCCUGAAUCAGUGUGUGUGUUAGUGGAAGCGUCUGGAAAGGCGCGCGAUACAGGGUGACAGCCCCGUACACAAAAAUGCACAUACUGUGAGCUCGAUGAGUAGGGCGGGACACGUGGUAUCCUGUCUGAAUAUGGGGGGACCAUCCUCCAAGGCUAAAUACUCCUGACUGACCGAUAGUGAACCAGUACCGUGAGGGAAAGGCGAAAAGAACCCCGGCGAGGGGAGUGAAAAAGAACCUGAAACCGUGUACGUACAAGCAGUGGGAGCCUCUUUUAUGGGGUGACUGCGUACCUUUUGUAUAAUGGGUCAGCGACUUAUAUUCUGUAGCAAGGUUAACCGAAUAGGGGAGCCGAAGGGAAACCGAGUCUUAACUGGGCGUUAAGUUGCAGGGUAUAGACCCGAAACCCGGUGAUCUAGCCAUGGGCAGGUUGAAGGUUGGGUAACACUAACUGGAGGACCGAACCGACUAAUGUUGAAAAAUUAGCGGAUGACUUGUGGCUGGGGGUGAAAGGCCAAUCAAACCGGGAGAUAGCUGGUUCUCCCCGAAAGCUAUUUAGGUAGCGCCUCGUGAAUUCAUCUCCGGGGGUAGAGCACUGUUUCGGCAAGGGGGUCAUCCCGACUUACCAACCCGAUGCAAACUGCGAAUACCGGAGAAUGUUAUCACGGGAGACACACGGCGGGUGCUAACGUCCGUCGUGAAGAGGGAAACAACCCAGACCGCCAGCUAAGGUCCCAAAGUCAUGGUUAAGUGGGAAACGAUGUGGGAAGGCCCAGACAGCCAGGAUGUUGGCUUAGAAGCAGCCAUCAUUUAAAGAAAGCGUAAUAGCUCACUGGUCGAGUCGGCCUGCGCGGAAGAUGUAACGGGGCUAAACCAUG
RNAcentral lists this ribosomal RNA (885 nucleotides) under Escherichia coli. Its description in RNAcentral is "partial 23S ribosomal RNA". It matches the Rfam family "Bacterial large subunit ribosomal RNA", at positions 296 to 1191 of the family's 2925-position model. The record is from RNAcentral. Lineage: Bacteria; Pseudomonadati; Pseudomonadota; Gammaproteobacteria; Enterobacterales; Enterobacteriaceae.